CACCAGAGGGGUUGCUGUCUCUCUCUCUGGAGCCAGCCUGCCUUCUCUCGUGAAUGUGUAGUCCUUGCUUUAUCCCAGAGGCAUCUCUCUUGAGAUUGCCCCCAUUUUUCCUUGAAUAUUGAAUCUACUUUCCUAAAUAAACCUCUCUCUAAGCCUUUGGCACAUGCUGUAAUUCUUUUCCAUCACAUAUGCAAGAAACCCCCUGGUCCUGAGUUAUAUUUUCUCUUCCCUCUGGGAACUCCUUGAAACCUACUUCAGAGAUGUCUUCUCCAGUGACAGUCUGAUUGGAUUUUUCCCCUUUAACAUUAUCUAUUGUCUAAUAUUGCCUGGAGCACAGGAGGGACUCAACAACUAUUUGCUGAAUCAUUUAAUAUGCCUUGAUUGAACCCAGCAUACAGCUUAAUGAAACCCUUAAACAAGUGUCACCUGGUAGGUUAAACUCCUGGAUUAAAUCUAUCUCCCAUUUUUUCAGGGGCAGAAGUAACUUCCACCUGAAGAAGUACAGCUUGGAAAGGAUCUUUUACCUUUUAAAUUUAUAUCAGACGAUGAGAGGAGGGCUGUUAGUAUAAAUAGCCAAAAGAAGACUCAAAGAAGUUCUUUGAAUUUAGAACUAAUACAACCAGUGGAUUUCCUCUGCCGCUUAACAUCUUAACUGAGAGAGGGUAAGUAAGAAUUAGACUUUU
RNAcentral lists this long non-coding RNA (683 nucleotides) under Marmota monax (woodchuck). The record is from RNAcentral. Lineage: Eukaryota; Metazoa; Chordata; Mammalia; Rodentia; Sciuridae.